Molecule: unclassified non-coding RNA, 378 nt
Filed under: uncultured Kiritimatiellota bacterium
Lineage: Bacteria; Pseudomonadati; Kiritimatiellota
Description: uncultured Kiritimatiellaeota bacterium contains 16S-23S intergenic spacer region
Source: RNAcentral
UCCUGCUUAUCACAGGCAGUCUGAUUAGAGUGCUUCGCUUGCGCGUGUAGCAACUAAUCACAAGGGUUGCGCUCGUUGCAGGACUUAACCUAACACCUCACGGCACGAGCUGACGACAGCCAUGCAGCACCUGUGUAACACCCUCGAAGGAAACCGGCUUUCACCGGUCGUGCAGUUACAUGUCAAGCCCAGGUAAGGUUCUUCGCGUUGCAUCGAAUUAAGCCACAUGCUCCACCGCUUGUGCGGGCCCCCGUCAAUUUCUUUGAGUUUUAGCCUUGCGGCCGUACUCCCCAGGCGGUGAACUUAUCGCGUUAGCUACGGCACGGAAGGGGAUAAUUCCUCCCACACCAAGUUCACACCGUUUACGGCUAGGACUAC